CCUACGGGGUGCAGCAGUGAGGAAUAUUGGUCAAUGGGCGUAAGCCUGAACCAGCCAAGUCGCGUGAGGGAUGAAGGUUCUAUGGAUCGUAAACCUCUUUUAUAAGGGAAUAAAGUGUGGGACGUGUCCUGUUUUGUAUGUACCUUAUGAAUAAGGAUCGGCUAACUCCGUGCCAGCAGCCGCGGUAAUACGGAGGAUCCGAGCGUUAUCCGGAUUUAUUGGGUUUAAAGGGUGCGUAGGCGGCCUUUUAAGUCAGCGGUGAAAGUCUGUGGCUCAACCAUAGAAUUGCCGUUGAAACUGAGAGGCUUGAGUAUGUUUGAGGCAGGCGGAAUGCGUGGUGUAGCGGUGAAAUGCUUAGAUAUCACGCAGAACCCCGAGUGCGAAGGCAGCCUGCCAAGCCAUGACUGACGCUGAUGCACGAAAGCGUGGGGAUCAAACAGGAUUAGAUACCCCUGUAGUC
Molecule: ribosomal RNA, 460 nt
Filed under: uncultured bacterium
Lineage: Bacteria
Description: partial 16S ribosomal RNA
Rfam family: Bacterial small subunit ribosomal RNA
Source: RNAcentral